Molecule: ribosomal RNA, 431 nt
Filed under: uncultured bacterium
Lineage: Bacteria
Description: partial 16S ribosomal RNA
Rfam family: Bacterial small subunit ribosomal RNA
Source: RNAcentral
AACGAACGCUGGCGGCAGGCUUAACACAUGCAAGUCGAGCGCCCCGCAAGGGGAGCGGCAGACGGGUGAGUAACGCGUGGGAACGUACCUUUUGGUUCGAAACAACCCCGGGAAACUGAAGCUAAUACCGGAUAAGCCCUAACGGGGAAAGAUUUAUCGCCGAAAGAUCGGCCCGCGUCUGAUUAGCUAGUUGGUGAGGUAACGGCUCACCAAGGCGACGAUCAGUAGCUGGUCUGAGAGGAUGAUCAGCCACACUGGGACUGAGACACGGCCCAGACUCCUACGGGAGGCAGCAGUGGGGAAUAUUGGACAAUGGGCGCAAGCCUGAUCCAGCCAUGCCGCGUGAGUGAUGAAGGCCUUAGGGUUGUAAAGCUCUUUUGUCCGGGAAGAUAAUGACUGUACCGGAAGAAUAAGCCCCGGCUAACUUCGUG